UAGAAGAAUGAUGUAUUGCACACUGUGGAGUCACAGUACUGAAGGAUGCAGACAUCUUCAGUAUUGCCUUAAUUUUUUAAAAAAAAGUACACAGGGGCCAGCCACUUAGUC
Small nucleolar RNA from Nannospalax galili (Upper Galilee mountains blind mole rat), 111 nucleotides. RefSeq annotates it as small nucleolar RNA SNORD67. The record is from RefSeq and is a predicted model, not a curated record. Lineage: Eukaryota; Metazoa; Chordata; Mammalia; Rodentia; Spalacidae. The transcript has a single exon.